AUGAAAUCGUUGGAGUACAAUCUUUGGACUAAACAGAUAAUAACUUUUUUCUUUUUAUAAUAAAGUUUAACAUAUUCAAGUCAUUAGUAACAAUAAUAUGCUUUGGAUUCACUUGGAAAAAAUGUCGCACUAAUGCAAAAGGUGUUUUGGAGGGAGUAAAUUGUUAAGUAUUUUGAAAUAGCAGAAUAGCAACAGCCACUUUAUAAUGCAGUACUUGACAAAAUAGAGCUGAAUUUAAGAACUUGAAGGACUUGUUCACAUUCAAAUAAGGACCCAAAGAGCUUUAAUCCAGGGAACAACAAUAAAACGUUCUUAGUUUAUAGUUCAACUUUUGACAAAAUGUACUGCAUUUAGGAAAAAAAAUAGCAAAUCUGGUAUGUUAAACCUAUUCGAUAAAUAGAACAAGAGGCGGUAAUAGCAAGAUUAACCAUACAAGAGAUGUUAGCAUUAUUUGUUUUAGUAAGAAGACAAUUAUUGUGUCUCAAAUUUUGGAGAUGCCAUUUUCACAGCUAUCCAUAUUACAACUGUCUUCAGAACCUUUAACUUAAUCAACAUUUAAAAGUAAUAAGUCAAGGAAACAACAACAUAGCACUCAACUUGGAUAAAUAUCCACAAAAUAAAAGAAAGCACUUAAAUAAUUAAUUGUUUGGGAAUUUUUUUGAACUAUAGAUGGAUAAUAGGCAUAGAUUAAAUUGAUAAACGAAAACAGGGCCUUUUUAAGGGCAGAAAUCCCCUAUUGAAUAGAUGGGUAAUUUCUUGAACAAGUUCUAUUUUAGAUAAUUGAAGCACCAUUGGACAGAGACAAUUAAUAUGACAACACAAAUAAUGAUGUUAAAUUUAUUAUUGCUUGUUAUUCCCUCCGUUUACUUUUACUUGUCCAUUAUUUUUUAAAAAAAAAUAGAUUUUCGAUUAUACUUGUUACUUUUAACAUAUCAAAAAGAGACCAAAACAAAAAAUCCUAAUUUACCAUCAACAUUAAUUACUUCGUCCCCAAAUCAUUUUUCAAGAUCCAAGUAUAGAUAUCAAUUAAUAUUGAGUUUUAUGGUAAAACAAUACUCAUAUUAAUCACUGUUUCUUAAGAACCAUGUAAAAUUAGAAGUAGACAACUAAAUGUGAACGGAGAAAGUACAUAUCAAAAUUUAUGGUUAAUUGAAUUCGAAAGGUUAGCUUUCCCCACUAAGCUAAUUGACUAAGAACUCUACAUGUAGCUCAAACAACUUGAC
This 1223-nucleotide long non-coding RNA is filed under the name Solanum tuberosum (potato). Its description in RNAcentral is "long non-coding RNA (STUB_LNC002392)". Lineage: Eukaryota; Viridiplantae; Streptophyta; Magnoliopsida; Solanales; Solanaceae. The record is from RNAcentral.